This 519-nucleotide ribosomal RNA is filed under the name uncultured bacterium. RNAcentral describes it as "partial 16S ribosomal RNA". It matches the Rfam family "Bacterial small subunit ribosomal RNA", at positions 28 to 507 of the family's 1533-position model. The record is from RNAcentral.
GACGAACGCUGGCGGCGUGCCUAAUACAUGCAAGUCGAGUGAGUCUGCCUUGAAGAUCGGAGUGCUUGCACUCUGUGAAACAAGAUACAGGCUAGCGGCGGACGGGUGAGUAACACGUGGGUAACCUGCCCAAGAGAUCGGGAUAACACCUGGAAACAGAUGCUAAUACCGGAUAACAACAGAUGAUGCCUAUCAACUGUUUAAAAGAUGGUUCUGCUAUCACUCUUGGAUGGACCUGCGGUGCAUUAGCUAGUUGGUAGGGUAACGGCCUACCAAGGCGAUGAUGCAUAGCCGAGUUGAGAGACUGAUCGGCCACAUUGGGACUGAGACACGGCCCAAACUCCUACGGGAGGCAGCAGUAGGGAAUCUUCCACAAUGGACGCAAGUCUGAUGGAGCAACGCCGCGUGAGUGAAGAAGGGUUUCGGCUCGUAAAGCUCUGUUGUUGGUGAAGAAGGACAGGGGUAGUAACUGACCUUUGUUUGACGGUAAUCAAUUAGAAAGUCACGGCUAACUAAGUG